CACGUAGGGCGCGAGCGUUGUCCGGAAUUAUUGGGCGUAAAGAGCUCGUAGGCGGUGUGUCGCGUCGGCCGUGAAAACCUGCAGCUUAACUGUGGGCUUGCGGUCGAUACGGGCAUCACUGGAGUUCGGCAGGGGAGACUGGAAUUCCUGGUGUAGCGGUGAAAUGCGCAGAUAUCAGGAGGAACACCGGUGGCGAAGGCGGUUCUCUGGGCAUGAUCUGACGCUGAGGAGCGAAAGUGUGGGGAGCGAACAGG
RNAcentral lists this ribosomal RNA (254 nucleotides) under uncultured bacterium. RNAcentral's name for it is "partial 16S ribosomal RNA". It matches the Rfam family "Bacterial small subunit ribosomal RNA", at positions 524 to 776 of the family's 1533-position model. The record is from RNAcentral.